CCUACGGGCGGGAGCAGUGAGGAAUAUUGGUCAAUGGACGAGAGUCUGAACCAGCCAAGUAGCGUGAAGGAUGACUGCCCUAUGGGUUGUAAACUUCUUUUAUAUGGGAAUAAAAUGUUCCACGUGUGGGAUUUUGUAUGUACCAUAUGAAUAAGGAUCGGCUAACUCCGUGCCAGCAGCCGCGGUAAUACGGAGGAUCCGAGCGUUAUCCGGAUUUAUUGGGUUUAAAGGGAGCGUAGGUGGAUUGUUAAGUCAGUUGUGAAAGUUUGCGGCUCAACCGUAAAAUUGCAGUUGAAACUGGCAGUCUUGAGUACAGUAGAGGUGGGCGGAAUUCGUGGUGUAGCGGUGAAAUGCUUAGAUAUCACGAAGAACUCCGAUUGCGAAGGCAGUUCACUGGACUGCAACUGACACUGAGGCUCGAAAGUGUGGGUAUCAAACAGGAUUAGAUACCCCAGUAGUC
RNAcentral lists this ribosomal RNA (460 nucleotides) under uncultured bacterium. Its description in RNAcentral is "partial 16S ribosomal RNA". It matches the Rfam family "Bacterial small subunit ribosomal RNA", at positions 338 to 795 of the family's 1533-position model. The record is from RNAcentral.